Chiroxiphia lanceolata (lance-tailed manakin) is the source of this 2498-nucleotide long non-coding RNA. RefSeq lists it as uncharacterized. The record is from RefSeq and is a predicted model, not a curated record. Lineage: Eukaryota; Metazoa; Chordata; Aves; Passeriformes; Pipridae. The transcript is spliced from 4 exons.
AACAACCUGGGAUGAACUGACCAUGACCCCCAUUCCCAUCUCCCUGCACUGCCAGGGGGGUGGAGGUAGAACUUGGGAAGAAGGAAGGGGUGGGGGGAAGGUGUUUUUAAGUUUUAUGUUAUCUCUCAUUAUCCUUCUCUGAAUUUGUCAGUAAUAAAUUUAAUUAAUAUCCCCAUUUUGAGUCUGUUUUGCCCAUGACAGUAAUCGGUGAGUGAUCUCUCCUGGUCCUUGUAUCAACUCAUGAACCUUUAGUUGUAUUUUCUUUCCUCUGUCCAGUUGCAGAGUGGAGUGAGAGAGUGGCUUUGGUGGGUACUUUUUGUUGAGCCAGGGUCAACCCACCACAAUCAGGAGGACUGAAUUUCAUGUGUCACGUUCUCAUUGACACCGAUCUGCCAAGGAGCAAUCAUUUUUCCCCUUUCACAGUUUGUGUGACUCAAAGAGAAUUGAGGCUCUUUUGUGCCAGGGUGAUUUCUUACUGAGUUGUACAGGAUUUUUGUCUGAUCUGCAAGGUCCUUGGAGCAUAAGUUGAUUAUAAAAUGGCAAAUGUUGUUGCUUGAUUAGUAAUAGAACCACAGCCUCUUUCUCCACCUUCAUAAUACAAAGUAGUGAAAAUGAUCUGAUUUUGGUUUUGAGUGGUUUAAUUUAAAAAGAGAAGGUUAUAAACACAUAACUUUACUAUUAGAAAGGUUGAAGGGCCUGGCCAAGAGUAUGACUUGCAAACAAAUUAGGGCCAGAAUUGUCUUACAGAAUUAAACCUUUACUGCUAAAAAACGAUCUUUGUUGUUGAUCCCCAUGUUGAGGGGCUGGGUUUUGGCCAGGCAGGCCUUGAUUCAAUUCCUGUCUUAAGUAAACUGCUAUAAAGCUGCUUUGCUUUUACUGAGUAUUUUCUGUGGGCAAUUAAUCCGUAUCUCCAGGAGAGCUUCAGCAUAGGCUGUGGUUGUAGUUGCACAAUCCCUGAGGUUGCCAAAUAAUCACAUGCAUUUGUUUUGUUUGGGAAAACUUCCCUGUGAUGAUUUGUUUAAAAAAAACAAAACCAAAACAACCACAGAGCAAUCAUCGGUGGUGGGAGCGAGGGUGAGUGUGGGAUGCAGAACCAAAAACCCACAAAAAAUCCUCUCAAAAUCCAGAAAUACGAAUAAGUGACCAAUUUGUAAAUCCCUGGGAGACUGAGCUAAUUUCAUGUGUGAUAAUUCUGUGAGAGUAGUGAGCUUUUCUAGUGUAUAGGGGAAAGAGAAGAGGUGUCCCUGUGCCCUGAAGCACAGCUGGUGCCUGAGGGAACUCAGACCAGAAAGGUUCCAGUUCCUCUGCUAUUGGCACUGGCAGGGCUCCGAAUCCCUUCGGAGGUGGCUGCUGCAAAGGGUUCCCAUCACACCUAAGGAACAGCAGGGACAGGACAAAUGUUCCAGGUCAGAUGUUUCUUUCAGAAUUUCUGGAAGGAGCUGCCCAACUAAACAGAACCUGUGCUCAGUGUUUAAGCUGUGCUCGAGGCUGGGUUAUAGAACAUCUCCUCCGUUGGAUGUCCUGCAGCUGAGGCCAAAGCUGUGCACUUCCCAGCGGGCAGCAGAGCUGUGCCGCACCCUUAGCAGAGGUGGAGAAAUCCUGGGCAGAAGCUCAUGACCAGAAGCAGCAUUUUCAAGAGAAAAAGGAGGCAGCCCAUAACUGAGACAGUUUAAAAGAAGAACACCUAGAGGUGAACAGAGAGGUGGGGACUUCACACCAAGAAUGCUCUGCCUUCAAACACCUGGUUUCAUCUCACAUCUUCGAACGGUUAAGAUGGAAAAUGAGGAGGGAGAUUGCACAUCUACAAGGAAAUUUCCUUCCUGAAUUUAAGGACUACUUCUUGUGCAUCUGUGAAGUACUGAGCAAAGUGUCUGGGAAAUCAAGGUGGAGCUCUCAGAGGCUCUGGGAAGGAAAACUAUGGGAAAUUGGAGGUCACCAUGGAAACGUUCGCUGGAGCAGGAAAUGAAACUGCUGUGUUGAUCAAGUGAGUAAUCAUUUCUCUACAGCCCAAAAAGUGCAGUGCACCUCCCCUGCCCCUCAUGGCUUUGUCUCCUCCAGCAGCCUGGCCAGGGCUCUCCCUGCUUCGGAAGCGUUCUUGGUAUGGAAUUGGGAGAGCCCUGCACUUCCCAGCUUGGCUCCCGGGGCUGUUUAAGGUUCGGAUGUCAGCUGUACCCCAGGAUGGUUCCUGGUUUGUUGUCAGUACUGGGAGGGGGGAUUAGUAUCGAUGCUUCUCCUGUUACCCAGAAACUGAAAUAUUAACUCAGCAAACCACCUAAGCUUAAAAUAAUAUAGAAAAGCCCAAGGCCUUAAGUCCUUCCCGUGCUUUAUGCCUCUGUGAAAGAAUGCAGAGCUGGCUUAAACACGUACCUGAUGCCUCGUUUGUGACUCUGCUGUGGAGGCAACUGCUUUCCAAAGGAACAGCUGGGAUUGGGUUCUCCAGCCUUAGAUUUGGGUGAUGUCACCUAUCCUGAAUAACAGUGGCAGUGCAGCACCCCAGG